Long non-coding RNA from Anolis carolinensis (green anole), 5772 nucleotides. The record is from Ensembl. Lineage: Eukaryota; Metazoa; Chordata; Lepidosauria; Squamata; Anolidae.
CAAAUCAUGUCCAACCUGGAGAAAGAAGAACUCUCCAAUGCAAUUAUCCUCUAUCUUAGAAGUCUUGGGAUUCAUGUCCAGCCUUGGAAGAUCAGCUCUAGCGAGGAGAAUCACACGGUGCCUUGUGUAGCUGGUGGUCUGUUUGGUGUCCCACUGCACACACUGCCCAUUUCAAAGCAGGUAGCCGGUGUGCCACAGUUCCUUGCUGAUGCUUGUGAGUUGCUCCGGCCACACCUUCACGUUGAAGGACUUUUCCGGAAAUGUGGAUCAACGACACGCAUCAAGGCUUUAAAGGUAUUGUCCCCAAGUCUCUCUUGGGAAAAGUGCAAGCUGCAUUUUCUGACCUGGAUGGAAAGAGACAGCCUUCAUCUGAAUCUGAAGGACAGAAAGAGAGCGAAGGGGAAGUAAGGCGGAGGCGGCGGAGGCACAGUGUGAGCAACUUUGUAACUGAGACCCUGAGCAAAUUCAAGACAAGCCGAUCUCUUUAUGCUGCUCCUUGCCAAGAGAUUAAAACAGGCUCCUCGACUGACAGUACUCUGAGAAUGUCUUUUAAUUCCAAGCGGAAAGCUUCUGAAGAUGUUGCCUGGGCUGCUGAACUUUCAGUCAAGAAGAGGAGAUCGGGCUUGGAUUCACUCAGCUUUGAUACCUUUGUGGAUGAUGCCGGGGACCCAUGUAUUCAACCAAUGUAUUGGGGUUCUGUGCAAGGAAAAGAGGCACUCAGCCCACCAAGCUCAACUGUACAAAUUCAAAGAAAACGGAGCGGCAGCAAGAAAAAACACACUCAGAGAAAACAUCCUGUUCAGACUUCCCCUAGCUCCUCCCCAACCUCUUUUGAGCGAAAGGACACAGGACGCAAAUCCUUACGCAUCUUCUCCCGCCAGAGUAAAGAUCUGGCAGGAGAACCAAGCAGCUGGCUUCUGGUGAAGAAGAUGGUCCCAGAGACUAUUGAAAGUCCCACGUCCCAAGAGAAAUGGGCCCAGCUGCAGUCAUACAGGCUCAGAGAAAGUGCAACAGGCUUUCCAAGACAGUUGGCCAAAGGAAGCAAUUGCCCCGCUAUCUCUAUAAAACCGGAGACUCCACCUGUUGCUGUGAAAUGCAAAAACUGUAAGGUGCCAAGCCCAGGCGUUGAUUAUGUCAUGUCUGGAUGCCAAGAGAUGGGUUUGGAUGACGGGUUUGAAAAAAGAGGGGUAUUGGACAAGGCUGGCUAUUUGGUAAGGAAGACCCAGCCGUUGGCUCCUCCAGCCAAGCAAGACAAACCUAUCCGUCGAUCGAUAAGUUGGUCUGAAGGUCUGUCAAUGAACAUUCCCACCGAAGAAACAGAUUUCUCUCCAGACGAAAUUCCUCUGAAACCUGGACAACAUGAAGCCUUCCCAUUUGACCUACCCGACGCAGCUCAACUCGAUAUGGAAGUCUUAGUGGCUGGCGUGAGGCAGCUGGGCAUCUCUGCUGUGUGUGUAACACCGGUGGAGAGCUGUGAUCCUGGCUGCCCAGAGAAUGGGCCUCGCGAUCCACUUACCUCCACACCAAACCUGUGUGAUAGCCGUAUCCCUCUUGCUGAAGGCCUCUGCCAAAUCAAAGAGGUGCCCAAAAGCCGGCUCAAGUGCCUGACCCUCAAUUUUCAAGCCAGUGAGACAUCCAAAGUUCCCAAACGUAAAGGUGGGCGCCGAUUUGGUCGCUCGAUUAGCCAUGAAAGUGGCUUGCCCUUGCAGGCUGAACAAGAGGCACCCACAGGGCAGAGUGGCCAUGCCAAGAAGGGGGCCUCUGUUCAGUCUCCCAGAAGCCCCUUGCAGUCCUUCAAGGCUUAUGGGAGGCAAAUUUUUAUAAGCCGCAAACAUAUCAUGAUGUCUUUUGCUGGGCUUCGAGGCAAAAAGGAGGCGCCAUGCCCCCGGGGCACUGAAGGGCCAACUGUGGCCACACCAGAACUAUAACUAGGAAUAUCUGUGAGAAGGAAAACAAUCAAAGAUAAAUAAAAUAAGAUUGUAAUAAUGGUCUCCCAGACUCUGCCCUUGGGUGAUCGUUGUCAAUAAUUUAAAAAACCAGAUGUGUAGGAAAACCUGCCCCAAUGUACUCAGCCUUUUUGCCUGCUGGGAGUAGAGUUCUAUUUCUGGCUGCUAUUACAGGUGGAACAUUUAAUUUGCACAGUCCAACUUCAUUGCAUUUCUUUGUAGCUUUUUGGCACAAUUUCAAGUAGCUCAAAUUUAUAAGGGGGUUAGGUUUCUGGAAAGAAAAGUGCUGGUAACAGCUAUUCUGUCCCUUAAGAUGAGACUGAUGUUGGUUUUGGUCUCCUAGCCUUCGCAUAGUCCAUUCUGUUGCCCUUAAAUCCACCUUAAGUCCAUCCUCUCUUUUUCCUGCCAUUUCACCUUGUGCUCGUGCACAACAUCAGUGUCUUCUAGCAAACCAUAUUUUGAUUAUAGAUGUUUAAAAAUGAUGUGUUUAGUCAUCCUUCUGUCAUCCUGCCCUCCAUCCAAAUAAGCUACCUCUAGUGGCCUUGAAUGACCAGGCCUGUGUAUUUUUGUUUUGAAAUAUUUGAAUUAUUGUCCUCAAUAUUAUUAUUUUGCCAUUGGGUAUAUGAUUUACAGCCAGCAGAGCCUGAAGAUGAGAACAUGUUUGGCUUCUCAAACCUGUUUUGGACUUGAGGUUUAUAGCAAAAGUAAAAGGGAAUAUAGUUUGGCUAUCAACUGCUGUGACAUGUAUUCUACCCCAAAUUACGGUGGUCACGAAAGGGAUACUAAGACACAAAUAUAAAUUGAUAUAUUAUGCAUAUGACAGAAUAAUUUUUCUCAAACUUGGUGUUCUCUAUAUGUGUUGCACCACAAUGAAUGCAAGCUAUUGUCCAAUAAAACUGAUGGACACCAGCAGGUGGGAAAAAAUGGAUCAUUCCUGUUUUGUCUGGAUGAUGUUUGUAUGCACCUCAUUUCUUCAAUCCUCCUUUAGAAAGAUGUCAAGUGCCCUGUCGUUUCUAAUAUACCCCAUAAUGAUUUUAUAAUGAUUGUUGUGUUUGCCUCUCAUGUGCCUUUUCUUAAUCUUAUCACAAAAUAAUUAAAAGCAAGAAAUAUCAAGUGAUUGGUCUUCUCUUAAACAACAGAUCACAGAACAUACAUAUGCUGCAAAUAUUCAAUGCCAGUUAUACACAGACAAGACAGACAAUUUUACAUAGAUACAGUAGAGUCUCACUUAUCCAAGCCUCGCUUAUCCAAGUUUCUGGAUUAUCCAAGCCAUUUUUGUAGUCAAUGUUUUCAAUAUAUCAUGAUAUUUUGGUGCUAAAUUCAUAAAUACAGUAAUUACUACAUAAUAUUACUGCAUAUUGAACUGCUUUUUCUGUCAAAUUUGUUUUCAAACAUGAUGUUUUGGUGCUUAAUUUGUAAAAUCAUAACCUAAUUUGAUGUUUAAUAGGCUUUUCCUUAAUCCCUCCUUAUUAUCCAAGAUAUUCGCUUAUCCAAGCUUCUGCCGGCCCAUUUAGCUUGGAUAAGUGAGACUCUACUGUAGAAGUAUAUAUAUGCUUUUCCCAUUUUUGGCAUCUUGGAGGCUUGUACUCGAUUCUGGCAAUGGGGGGGGGGAGGGGAAAUGCUGCUGCUCCAUCUCCCUACCAAAGAGCUUUGUUAGUAAACUUUCCUCCUUGAUUAAAUUGCCAGAAUUUUCUGACAUUUCCUUACAAGAGCCUUAAAAUACUUCCCCACUUUUAAGCCUAUUUAUCGACUCACAUUUUGCUUUCAAACCGCUAUGUAGGCGGAAACUAGGCUAAACGCCAGGAGCUCACCCUGACCCAGGUUUCGAAUUGUCAACCUUUGAUUGACAAGAUUUACUGCAGCUGGUGGUUUAAGCUGCUGUGCUAAAGCCCAGCCCUCAUUUACAUCGCUGUAGGUAUAUAUACCGUAUUUUAAAAUAUUUUAAAUAUUCAUUUUUCUUUUAAUUGUCCUACACUGUUUCAUUAGUCUUUUGUUCAGGGCCAGUAUGGUUAACAAAAGGAAAAUGUGCAUGUGGAGGGGACAUUGCUGAGAUGUUUUGUUCCCUGGGAGGCAUCAGCAGACAGGCAUCAGACCUCAAAUCAAGGUACAGUAAAUUACUUUGUCCUUGGAAAUACAGCAAUUCUCCACUUGUUAUUGUUGUGGGCCUUCAAGUUGUUUCUGAGUUAUGGUGUUUUCUGAGGCUGAGAGUGUGUGGUCACUGAGUGGAUCUCCAUGGCUUAGUGGAGAAUCGGACCCUGGUCUCUACAGUGGUAGUUCAAUACUCAAACCACUAUGCUACACUGGCUUAAUAAUAGUUAUGGCUGACAACAAUAAACAUAUACAACAUCGGGUUGCUAUAAGUUUUCUGAACUGUAUGGCCACAUCUAUGACAUACAUAUGCUGCAAAUAUUCCUCAGAGGUUGUGAGGUCUGUUGGAAACUAGGCAAGUGGUGUUUAUAUAUCUGUGAAAUGUCCUGGGUGGGAGAAAAAUCUCUUGUCUGUUUUGAGGCAAGUGUGAAUGUUGCAAUUUGCCACCUUGAUUAACAUUGAAUGGCCUUGCAGCUUCAAAGCCUGGCUUCCUUCAAUAGAAAGGAAAAAUCCAUGAAAAUGAACAAAAUCUGGCUAUCAGUAUUAAAACACUCCAAGAUCAGAACAAUAAAUAAGGAGCAGCACUCUUAAAACAGAAGAAUUCCAGAGAAGAAGCAAUCAGGGGCAGCUAACGACUCUGAACAAAGGAUUUCCCCAGACCAGGAUGCGAGGCUGGGAAGGCCAUUUAAUGCUAACAAAGGUGAUUAAUUACAACAUUCACACUGGUCUCCAACAGACAAGAGUUCUUCCCCCCACCCAGGAACUUUUACAGAUAUAUAAACCUUUAUUGCUUAGUUUCUCCAUACCUCACAACCUCUGAGGAUGCCUGCCAUAGAUGUGGGCGAAAUGUCAGGAGAGAAUACUUCUGGAACAUGGCCAUACAGCCUGGAAAACAUGUGAUCCCGGCCAUGAAAGCCUUCGACAACACAUUGAACACCAUGCUAGUUUUGAAGCUUUGCAAACAUCAUCUUCAGGCACAGCCUAUAAAACAGCAUCUAACUCUGCUCUUGUGAUCCUAUCUACAACAAAUGUUAUUCGGCUGUGUUGUCAGUCCAAAUCACUCUCAGAGCACCUAUCACUGCCAGAAUGAUCGCUGUUUUCUUUUCCCAAAGGCACUGAAUCACAUUUUGGUGAUCUCAGUAUUUCAGAAUUUCUUUCUGCUCUUUGUCAUUGAUCCUUCUGUUCUCUGGGAUUGCCACACCUGUAACCCAGGCUUUCGUCUUCUCAACCAUAGUUAUGCCUGGCUAUAAUUGCAAUUAUCAUAAUUACUACCAUCCUCAUUAUUAUGAAUUGCCAAAUAUUUUGGGGCUGGGAAAUAAUCUUUCAACAGCCUGGACAUUUGUCUUUUCCUUGCCAAUUCUGUUUAGGCGAGAGAUGCCAUGAAAUGUACAAUGAUCCUACAGUGAAUUAUCUGGUGUCCAAAUGGUAUUGUGGGACCCAAGAGCAAUUAAAAAUACCUGGCUAUUUGCUAUUGGAUGCAGAAUUGUGUAAGCUUUGGUGGGCAGUUCAGUCCCAAGAGAGGGAAGCUGCUCACUUGUAUCAAGAAGACUUGCCCACAAAAGCAGGGUCCCCCCCCACCCCCUCCCCAUUAAUUAGUUUACAUCAACAGUAAUUUAUUUGCAGAACAAUUCUUCUUUUUUAAGUCAAAUUAUGCAGCAUAUGAACCCAAAGAGCUUUUGCUUUUUAGUUUAUGGGUGGGCAAAGUCGCCCCCGCAGUAUAGGAGUGCUAGUUCAUUUA